ACUUCAGCUAAAACGGAUACGCCCUGAGGGGGAAAGUUUACGCCGAAAGAUCGGCCCGCGUCAGAUUAGGUAGUUGGUGGGGUAAAGGCCUACCAAGCCGAUGAUCUGUAGGUGGUCUGAGAGGAUGAUCACCCACACUGGGACUGAGACACGGCCCAGACUCCUACGGGAGGCAGCAGUGGGGAAUAUUGGACAAUGGGCGCAAGCCUGAUCCAGCCAUGCCGCGUGGAUGAAGAAGGCCCUAGGGUUGUAAAGUCCUUUCGACGGAGACGAUAAUGACGGUAUCCGUAGAAGAAGCCCCGGCUAAUUUCGUGGCCAGCAGCCGCGGUAAUACGAAAGGGGCUAGCGUUGUUCGGAAUUACUGGGCGUAAAGCGCACGUAGGCGGUCGUGUAAGAUGGGGGUGAAAUGCCCGGGGCUGCAACUCCGGAACUGCCUUCAUGACUGCAUGGCUAGAGGAUGCGAGAGGUUGGCGGAAUUCCGAGUGUAGAGGUGAAAUUCGUAGAUAUUCGGAAGAACACCAGUGGCGAAGGCGGCCAACUGGGCGCAUUUCUGACGCUGAGGUGGCGAAAGCGUGGGGGAGCAAACAGGAUUAGAUACCCUGGUAGUGCCACGCCGUGAAAUGAUGGAGGGCUGAGUUGUCGUGCGGCUUGCCGAUGCGGUGGACGCAGCUAACGCAGUGAAGCCCGCCGCCGGGGGAGGACGUGCGCAAGAGGAAAACGCAAAGGAAGGGACGGGGGCCCGCACAA
This 747-nucleotide ribosomal RNA is filed under the name uncultured Alphaproteobacteria bacterium. Its description in RNAcentral is "bacterial SSU rRNA". It matches the Rfam family "Bacterial small subunit ribosomal RNA", at positions 156 to 928 of the family's 1533-position model. The record is from RNAcentral. Lineage: Bacteria; Pseudomonadati; Pseudomonadota; Alphaproteobacteria.